Molecule: non-coding RNA, 109 nt
Organism: Paramuricea clavata
Lineage: Eukaryota; Metazoa; Cnidaria; Anthozoa; Malacalcyonacea; Plexauridae
Source: the annotation of a GenBank genome assembly
UUGGGUAAAUUCUAAGUUUUGAAGGAUUUGUAAGAAGUGUUUGAGGAACUGACUUCGUGUUAAACGUUGAAUCAGUUCCUCAAACAUUUCUUACAAACCUUCACUAAAA